GGAGCAAAGCACUUCCAGCCACUCAUUUAUCCUGAUGGGCAGGCUGCAGAACAUAGAUAUAGCAAUCUGCUUGGCUGAUUCCUGCUACACAUUGGGAGUCGUGGAAUAGGUCUCAGCAGGUAGAAAGCUGUGCACCCACGCACUGCAGAAUGCUGUGAUUACAGCAGGGAAUUUGAAUUCCAAUGAGGGCAACUAACCUGGACUUGGUUAGUCUAAGAAGGCCAGCAGGAGGAAAUGACUUCUGAACCAUCCCACAACAUCAAGGACAAGGAGCAGCUGAGCAGGUACAAAUCAAUAUAAGCAGAAUUCCUAGUGUGUUCUUUCACUUCCGUGGUCCACUGAGUGCUUUCAAGAGAACCAGGAGACAGAUUGCAUCGAGGGCCUGGCUGAGGGCAGCAGAGAGGUAAGGACUGACCAGCUUCACCUGAGAAAGUCUGAGUGGGCAGUCUCCCAGGCCU
RNAcentral lists this long non-coding RNA (458 nucleotides) under Callithrix jacchus (white-tufted-ear marmoset). Its description in RNAcentral is "lncRNA (ENSCJAG00000071006.1)". Lineage: Eukaryota; Metazoa; Chordata; Mammalia; Primates; Cebidae. The record is from RNAcentral.